CAGAAAAUAGUUUAUUUAAAAUGUUAAUUUUGGAGAUUAUUGAAAAGUAGUUAUACUUUUUUCUGA
Molecule: transfer RNA, 66 nt
Filed under: Odontocimbex svenhedini
Lineage: Eukaryota; Metazoa; Arthropoda; Insecta; Hymenoptera; Cimbicidae
Description: tRNA-Pro
Source: RNAcentral